UUCAAUAAGGUCGGUGUUGAAGGAUUCUGGGUCACUGCAAAUCCUCGAGUGGAGCAAUGCGAAUAGAGAAUGGAAGGAACUAUGGUCUGCGCCAAAAUAUCGGUGUGACCUGUAUGGAGAGUGCGGUGCCAACAGCAAAUGUAGCCCUGACAAUUUCAAUUUUUUUGGGUGUGAGUGUCUGCCAGGGUAUGAACCGAAGUCUGUCAAUGAUUGGAAGAGAUGAGAAAUGGUUCGGACGGGUGUGUGAGUAAACGAGUUGCGGUAUCAAAGUGUAGGAACGGAGAAGGGUUCAUGAAAGUGGCACAAGUUAAAGAUCCAGACACAACGAAAGCAGCACGGCUGGAAAAAGGUAUUAGUGUCAAAGAGUGUAAGCAGGUGUGCUUAAGCAAUUGUUCUUGCACUGCAUAUAUGGUCAUAGAAUCUGAAGGGCCCAGUGAUUGCUUGACAUGGUAUGGUGAGAGUUGCUGGACAUUUUAGUGCACACACAGGGAGGGCGAGAUCUACAUGUACGUGUGGACAAAAUCGAAUUAGGUACCACUUCUUGCCAUGGAAAAGUUGCAUUAUAAAUUUUUGGAAUUUGUGGAACUUGCUGUACUAUUGGUUUUGUUAUUUUUUAAUCCUUUAUCCCACUCUUAUGUGUAGCUGAAAAUUCCAGAAACUCGAAAGGUUUUCUUAGAAGGAGGGGUAUGCUGGCUGUUCUGAUGUUGUCUGUUCUUCUAGCAUUGGUACUGAUGGUUGCGUUGACCUGUUGGAGGAUUAGGAAACAGAGGAAGACAAAAGGUAAGAAGUACUCAGCGAUUUUGAAUUCUCGAACGGUUUCAUCAAAUAAAAACACUCCAUUUGUAAUGCUUGUGCAGUUUGUAAAUCACAUCGAAGCACUGCAAUUAGAUGGAAUCCAUAUGCGUGAGCUCGAUGUAAAACUUAUAUUUCUAUAUCGUUUGUCAAUGAAAAUAGAACAGUGAGAAGAAAAUGCAGACAGUGAUUUCUUUUAUUGUUAACAGUUGAGAUCGAAGAAACUAGGAGACAUCCCGAAUGGCAAUUUUUCCAUCUGAGAACGAUAAUUGCAGCUACAAACAACUUCUCUCCAGUCCAAAAACUUGGCCAAGGUGGUUUUGGCACUGUUUAUAAGGUUAGUCCCACUUUCGAAGAGUUACAAAUUUCAUUACUAAAGAAUAAUCACAACAUAAUGGCUUGAUAAAAUAAGCGAUGAUUAUGUGGAAGCUUAAUGAUAAAACUGAAUAAAAACUUCAGGGUGUUACGAAAUAAUCAGAAUAUUGCUGUAAAAAGAUUAUCCAGAACUUCAGGACAAGGAGUUGAAGAAUUCAAAAAUGAAGUUGCGCUGAUAGCGAGAUUUCAACACAGGAAUCUUGUGAAACUUUUAGGCUGUUGCAUAAAGGGAGAAGAAAGGAUGUUAGUCCUGGAAUACUUGCCGAACAAAAGCUUGGACUACUUUCUUUUCGGUAUGUCUAUAGAGGAAAGAUUCCUUUGUUCACGCCAUUUCUCAAACCAAGAAGCAUAUCUUAGUCGAAUAUGUCACAUUUAUCUGCACAAUUAAAGCCAAAUAUCUUGAUGCAGAUCACACGAAAAAGUCCUUGCUGGAUUGGCAAAAGCGAUUCGAAAUCAUCAAUGGGGUUGCUCGUGGGGUUUUGUAUCUUCACCAGGAUUCAAGACUUAGGAUUAUUCACAGGGAUCUAAAAACCAGCAAUGUCCUUCUAGACGCUGAGAUGAACCCAAAAAUAUCAGAUUUCGGCAUGGCAAGAAUCUUCCAUGGGGACCAACUCCAGGAUACGACCAACAAAGUUGUCGGAACAUAGUAAGAAUCGUUAUAAACUCACCUUCCAUUAGCUCUUUCAUCUCUUACUAUUCUUUGGCUGUAAUGUUUUAUUUUCUUUAUAUGCAUAAUACAGUGGCUAUAUGUCACUGGAGUAUGCAGUAUUUGGGAGAUUUUCAACCAAAUCGGACAUUUUUAGUUUUGGGGUCAUAUUAUUGGAGAUUGUAAGUGGCAAGAAAAACAACGGUUUCUAUCAAGCGGAUCAUUUCGUAAACUUAAUAGGACAUGUGAGUAACACAAAUUUUGCAAACAACCAACCCUUUUUAUUUACUCAUCCCAUACAUGUUUGAAAUGAACUGUAAACUACAGGUUUGGCAGUUGUGGAGUGAAGACAGAGCCUUAGAAAUUGUGGAUUCGUCAUUGGAGUCAUACGCGCCCGACGAAGCCAUGAGAUGCAUUCAGGUCGGGCUCUUGUGUGUCGAAGAAGAGUCGAAGAACAGACCAUCCAUGUCAGCUGUUGUUUUUAUGUUGAGCGGCGAAGCAUCUGCUCCAUCUCCUCAGCAGCCUGCAUUUGCCUUGAGAAAAAAUUCAUGCGGCGAUGCUGUUGUUCCGUCAGUUUCCGAAGGAUCGUGUUCUAUCAACGAUGUGACAAUAACUAAAUUCGAAGGUCGAUAACUAAAUUCUGAUGUCAUCUGUGAUAAAACAUGGUCUUUCGGGAACUGAAUCAUAUACGUUGAAAUGAGACUUCAGAUAUAUAGGCUAUUUCAUACAUUUUCAAAUACCUCUUGGAUGUAUCUAAUAAUACAGAACUCUUUCCAACAGUUAUGUCUCCUAAUCAAAACGUUUUGAAUAUUAAUUAAAAACUUAAUCCAAAACUAAAAUCAGUUAAUAUGCUAAUUAAAAUUACACCUAUUGGAGACCUUGUGUUCUUGUGUUCCCUGAUGUGGGAUAAUUGAGGCAUAAAACUCCAACAGAUUCCAACAAGAUCAUUUUCGGAUUCUUUUAGUGAGGAUCCUGAUGAUUUGUGAAUUGUGUCCAUUUAUCGUACAUGCAGUUAGUUUUUGUCAAAUAUUGUUUGUGUUUAAUUUUAAAUAAAAAUAUUUAAAAUAAUUUCUAAUCGUACGAUGUACGAUAAACGGACAAAAUUGACGAAUCCUCGAGAUCCUCACAAAAAGUAUCCGGCGAGGAUCCGGAUUCCAACAGAUUAUUCUUUGACGAAACUGAUUUGACUGCCAACAUCCAAAGUCUCCUUGGUUUGAGUCGUGCUUGCUAGGUGCCGGGUAAACCCUUCAAACAAGCAGCAAUAAUUCCAACAGAUAAACAUAAACAUCAGCGACAAUUCUUCUGUCUUAAGAAAGAGACGGAUCUAAAUCGCACUUCUAACAACACCGAUAUUAUUUUUAAUUUAGUUAGAGCAUUCUCAAUUGGGGCUUUAUCUUCCAUGAAGCUACUACAUUUGGAGUCCUAGUAAGAAAUUUUAUCCCCAAUAAGCCGAAAAUGAGGUUAGAUCCACUAUUUGGGUUAGUAACUUCCUUUCCUAGGUAGCAAAAAAUUAAGCUACAUCUAACUUUAAAAAGCAGUGAAUCCCACGAAAAAGGACGAUACUUGGACACUGGCUAGUCAGUGUCCAAUUUUAUUGACCCCAAAUAAAAAAAAUGACACUUGUCCUUUUUAAUUCUAUCUCAGAUUGUUGCCAUCUUCAUAACCAAACAUCUCCUAUUUCCCCAUAGCUUCUGCAAUGGAGAUUUGGGCAAAUCCUCAACUCCUCCAACCUUUGCCUCCGUCGACCGACCCGUUCCGUCGACCCCAUCCCGUCUCCACCUCAUUAUGAACCAUAUAUGUAUUUGCUACAAUAGAUUGACUAAAGAAUUUUAGUUUUAAUUUAUUUUUUAUAAAGAUGAUUUUACAGUGUGAUUCAUAGUAUGAACGAUUCUGAUUAUAAGCACAAAUCUUCGUGAUUAAAACAUUAAUAAUUUUGAAUAGGAGUUCCUACUUAUCUUUAAGUAGCUAAAUAUUAUUCAUCACCCUCAGAUGUCGAUUAGCAUAUACCUAUCUUAAUAUAUAAGGAUAUAAGAAUCGGGACGUGUCACAUAAUCCUAGACAAUUCAACAAGACUUGAGUGGAUCCCAGAAUGCUGACUAGAAAUGUGGUUUUCGUCUUCCAAAUACCGAUUGACGAAAAGUAGCACAUAUUGGGUAAAAUUCAAAGAAGCAGUUGAGCUGUCAACACUUUCAUUAAUGUACACAGAAAAACAAGUGCGGUCAAGUUCGUUUUGAGAUAAGGGAGGGUAGGAUUCUUUGGUAGUCCGAUGGCUUGGGCCUCUGAUCGUCUAAUUCUCUAUUGCCCUCGCUGUUGCUGUGAUUGUGCCAAGGGUUUGAUGCAUCUGCCAAGAAAAUGUUACUGAAAGCUUUGCUUGUUGUGUCCCUCCUCUUCCCAUUUUGCACAUCCAUUGACACCAUAGAAAUGGACCAACAUGUAAAGGAUGGUGAUCUUCUGGUGUCCAAAGGAAACAUCUUCGCAUUAGGGUUCUUCAGCCCCAGAAACUCCAGCUCCAGGUACGUCGGAAUUUGGUAUGUUCAAAACGAUCAAAAAGGUCAAAAGGUAGUGGUUUGGGUAGCAAACAGAAACGACCCCAUCAAUCAUACCUCCGGUGUCCUUACUAUAGACGGGUAUGGGAGACUGCUUUUUUAUUCUAACAAUAUGCAGAACAUUCCUGUGUGGUCUACAAAUGUGACGGUUCAAACUACGAGCACUAGUUGCAGGGCUCAGCUUUUAGAUUCUGGAAAUUUAGUUCUUUUCCGGGAUAAUAAAAGCAAAAAUUUUAUGUGGCAGAGUUUUGAUUAUCCUACAGAUACUCUCCUUCCGGGUAUGAAACUAGGCGUGAAUUGGAAAUUGGGGAUAGAAUGGGUCUUAACAUCUUGGAAGUCACAAGAUGACCCUGGAACUGGGGAAUACACCACUAGGCUCUAUUCCAAUCAGACAGCCACCCCCGAAUUUUUUACUUUUUAUAAAGGUUUGACUCCGCAUUGGCGAUCUGAUCCAGCGAACACGCGUACUAUUGUCAAUAAUCAGGGCGAAACGUAUUCCUUUGUUAAAAACGAUAGCACUCCAACAAGGGCGGUGUUGAAGGAUUCUGGGUUGCUGCAAAUCCUCAGGUGGAACAAGGCAGAUAGAGAAUGGAAGGAACUAUGGUCUGCGCCAAAAUAUCAGUGUGACCAGUAUGAAGAGUGCGGUGCCAACAGCAAAUGUAGUCCUGAUAAUAUCAAUUCGUUUGAGUGUGAGUGUCUGCCAGGGUAUGAACCGAAGUCUGUCAAUGAUUGGAAGAUGAGAGACGGUUCGGACGGGUGUGUGAGUAAACGAGUUGCAGUAUCAAAGUGUAGGAACGGAGAAGGUUUCAUGAAAGUGGCACGAGUUAAAGAUCCAGACACAACGAAAGCAGCACGGCUGGAAAAAGGUAUUAGUGUCAAAGAGUGUAAGCAGGUGUGCUUAAGCGAUUGUUCUUGCACUGCAUAUAUGAUCAUAGAAUCUGAAGGGCGCAGUGAUUGCUUGACAUGGUAUGGUAAGUUGCGGGACAUUUUAGUGUACACACAGGCAGGGCGAGAUCUGCAUGUACGAGUGGACAAAAUCGAAUUAGGUACCACUUCUUGCCAUGGAAAAGUUGCAAUAUAAAUUUUUGGAAUUUGCGGAACUUACUGUACUACUGGUUUUGUUAGUUUUUAAUCCUUUAUCCCACUCUUAUGUGUAGCUGAAAAUUUCAGAAAUUCGAAAGGUUUUCUUAAAAGGAGGGGCAUGCUGGCUAUUCUGAUGUUGUCUGUUCUUCUAGCAUUGGUACUGAUCGUUGCGUUGGCCUGUUGGAGGAUUAGGAAAAAGAGGAAGACAAAAGGUAAGAAGUAGUCAGCGAUUUUGAAUUCUCGAACAGUUUCAUCAAAUAAAAGCACUCCACUUGUAAUGCUUGUGCAGUUUGUAAAUCAUAUAAAAGCACUGCAAUUAGAUAGAAUCCAUAUGCGCGAGCUCGAUGUAAAACUUAUAUUUCUAUAUCGUUUGUCAAUGAAAAUAGAACAGUGAGAAGAAAAUGCAGACAAUGAUUUCUUUUAUUGUUAGCAGUUGAGAUUGAAGAAACUAGGAGACAUCCCGAAUUGCAGUUUUUCCAUCUGAGAACGAUAAUUGCAGCUACGAACAACUUCUCUCCCGUCCAAAAACUUGGCCAAGGUGGUUUUGGCACUGUUUAUAAGGUUAGUCCCACUUUCGAAAAGUUACAAAUUUCAUUAUUAAAGAAUAAUCACAACAUAAUGGCUUGAUAAAAUAAGUGAUGAUUAUGUGGAAGCUUAAUGAUAAAAUUGAGUAAAAACUUCAGGGUGUGUUACGAAAUAAUCAGAAUAUUGCUGUAAAAAGAUUAUCCAGAGCUUCAGGACAAGGAGUUGAAGAAUUCAAAAAUGAAGUUGCGCUGAUAGCGAGACUUCAACACAGGAAUCUCGUGAAACUUUUAGGCUGUUGCAUAAAGGGAGAAGAAAGGAUGUUAGUCCUGGAAUACUUGCCGAACAAAAGCUUGGACUACUUUCUUUUCGGUAUGUCUAUAGAGGAAAGAUUCAUUUGUUCACGCCAUUUCUCAAACUAUGAAGCAUAUCUUAGUCGAAUAUGUCACAUUUAUCUGCACAAUUAAAGCCAAAUAUCUUGAUGCAGAUCACACAAAAAAGUCCUUGCUGGAUUGGCAAAAGCGAUUCGAAAUCAUCAAUGGGGUUGCUCGUGGGGUUUUGUAUCUUCACCAAGACUCAAGACUUAGGAUUAUUCACAGGGAUCUAAAAACCAGCAAUGUCCUUCUAGACGCUGAGAUGAACCCAAAAAUAUCAGAUUUUGGCAUGGCAAGAAUCUUCCAUGGGGACCAACUCCAAGAUACGACCAACAGAGUUGUCGGAACAUAGUAAGAAUCGUUAUAAACUCACCUUCCAUUAGCUCUUUCAUCUCUUACUAUUCUUUGGAUGUAACGUUUUAUUUUCUUUAUAUGUAUAAUACAGUGGCUAUAUGUCACCGGAGUAUGCAGUGUUCGGGAGAUUUUCAACCAAAUCGGACGUUUUUAGUUUUGGGGUCAUAUUAUUGGAGAUUGUAAGUGGCAAGAAAAACAACGGUUUCUAUCAAGCGGAUCAUUUCGUAAACUUAAUAGGACAUGUGAGUAACACAAAUUGUGCAAACAACCAACCCUUUUUAUUUACUCAUCUCAUACAUGUUUAAAAUGAACUGUCAACUACAGGUUUGGCAGUUGUGGAGUGAAGACAGAGCCUUAGAAAUUGUGGAUUCAUCAUUGGAGUCAUACGCGCCCGACGAAGCCAUGAGAUGCAUACAAGUCGGGCUCUUGUGUGUCGAAGAAGAGUCGAAGAACAGACCAUCCAUGUCAGCUGUUGUUUUUAUGUUGAGCGGCGAAGCAUCUGCUCCAUCUCCUCAGCAGCCUGCAUUUUCCUUGAGAAAAAAUUCAUGCGGCGAUGCUGUUGUUCCGUCAGUUUCUGAAGGAUCGUGUUCUAUCAACGACGUGACAAUAACUAAAUUCGAAGGUCGAUAACUAAAUUAUGAUGUCAUCUGUGAUAAAGCAUGGUCUUUCGGAAACUGAAUCAUAUAUAUUGAAAUGAGACUUCAGUUAUAUAGGCUAUUUCAUACACUUUCAAAUACCUCUUGGAUGUAUCUAAUAAUAUAGAACUCUUUCCAACAGUUAUGUCGCCUAAUCAAAACGUUUUUAAUAUUAAUUAAAAACUUAAUCCAAAACUAAAAUCAGUUAAUAUACUUAUUAAAAUUACACCUAUUGGAGACCUUGUGUUCCUCGAUGUGGGAUAAUUGAGGCUUAAAAUUCCAACAGAUUCCAACAGGAUCCUCUUCGGAUUCUUUUAGAGAGGAUCCUGAUGAUUCGUAAAUUGUAUUCAUUUAUCGUACAUCGUGUGGUCAGUUUUUGUCAAAUACUGUUUGUAUUUAAUUUUAAAUAAAAAUAUUUAAAAUAAUUUAUAAUCGUACGAUGUACGGACAAAAUUAACGAAUCCUUAGGAUCCUCACAAAAAGUAUCUAGCGAGGAUCCGGAUUCCAACAGAUUAUUCUUUGACGAAACUGAUUUGACUGUCAACAUCCAAAGUCUCCUUGGUUUGAGUCGUGCUUGCUAGGUGCCGGGUAAACUCUUCAAACAAGCAGCAAUAAUUCCAACAGAAAAACAUAAACAUCAGCGGUAAUAGACUCUAGUGUAUACCUUUUAUUCUGCAGGUAUGUUGUUGCACAUGUACAUCGGUCAGGACAACAAAUUCUGCUCACUAUUUUCACUUCGAGAAGUUUAGUGUGUGGGGUGAAAUGAUCGAAUCAUGAGUUGGGGAUAGAACAUGUAAAAUUCUAGUUGUUUUUAUAUAUAAUGGUUGUGAAUAUCUUUGUAAAUUGUAAUAUUAUAGAUGCUUGUGGUUGUGGGCUGUUUUAAUUUUAUGAAAAAAUAAUUUUUUGUUUAGCCUCAAUCUCAAUUUGUAGGUGACAACUUUGUCAGGCACAAAAGGACCUUUAUUUGUGCUAACACUUUUCGGCACAACAUACCAUAUUGUGCUCUUUGAUCAAAGGCUACGCCUAUAGAGGGCACAAAUAGAAAUAUAGUUAUUGCACUGUUGCUAUUGGUCUAUGGGCAUAAUUGUUGGUGCUCUUUGGCCUCAAAGGAUCGUGUUCUAUCAACGACGUGACAAUAACUAAAUUCGAAGGUCGAUAACUAAAUUCUGCUGUCAUCUGUGAUAAAACAUGGUCUUUCUUGAACUGAAUCAAAUACGUUGAAAUGAGACUUCAGUUAUAUAGGCUAUUUCAUACACUUACAAAUACCUCUUGGAUGUAUCUAAUAAUACAGAACUCUUUCCAACAGUUAUGUCUCCUAAUCAAAAUGUUUUUAAUAUUAAUUACAAACUUAAUCCAAAACUAAAAUCAGUAAAUAUGCUAAUUAAAAUUACACCUAUUGGGGACCUUGUGUUCUUGUGUUCCUUGAUGUGGGAUAAUUGAGGCAUAAAACUCCAACAUAUUCCAACAAGAUCCUUUUCGGAUUCUUUUAGUGAGGAUCGUGAUGAUUUGUGAAUUGUGUCCAUUUAUCGUACAUGCAGUCAGUUUUUGUCAAAUAUUGUUUGUGUUUAAUUUUAAAUAAAAAUAUUUAAAAUAAUUUUUAAUCGUAUGAUAUACGAUAAACGGACAAAAUUGACGAAUCCUUGGAAUCCUCACAAAAAGUAUCCGGCGAGGAUCCAGAUUCCAACAGAUUAUUCUUUGACGAAACUGAUUUGACUGCCAACAUCCAAAGUCUCCUUGGUUUGAGUCGUGCUUGCUAGGUGCCGGGUAAACCCUUCAAACAAGCAGCAAUAAUUCCAACAGAUAAACAUAAACAUCAGCGACAAUUCUUCUGUCUUAAGAAAGAGACGGAUCAAAGUCGCACUUCUAAACAACACCGAUAUUAGUAUUUUUUUAAUUUAGUAGAUGAGAGCAUUCUCAAUUGAGACUUUUAUCUUCUAUGAAGCUACUACAUUAGGAGUCCUAGUAAGAAAUUUUAUCCCCAAUAAGCCGAAAAUGAGGUUAGAUCCAUUACUUGGGCUAGUAACUUCCUUUCCUAGGUUAGCAAAAAAUUAAGCUACAUCUAACUUUAAAAAGCAGUGAAUCCCACGAAAAGGGACGAUACUUGGACACUGGCUAGUCAGUGUCCAAUUUUAUUGACCCCAAAUAAAAAAAAUGACACUUGUCCUUUUUAAUUCUAUCUCAGAUUGUUGCCAUCUUCAUAACCAAACAUCUCCUAUUUCCCCAUAGCUUCUGCAAUGGAGAUUUGGGCAAAUCCUCAACUCCUCCAACCUUUGCCUCCGUCGACCACAUCCACGUCUCCUCCUCAUUCUCUCCUCCGUCGAACCCGCCCCCAAUCCACUAUCUUUUUCUCAUUACAACCAUGGGCAGAAAGGACAGAAAGCGGCUACUCGCUACCAGUAAUUGAGCAGUUGCAUGGGUGCUGUCAUGGCAGAGGAGAGAGUUGGGUAUGAGUAGGCGGGGUUGGGUUCGUUGAAGGAGAGAGAUUGAUGGAGAAAUUCGGGUUAAAUUUGACGUGGACGGGGAUGAGAUCUGCGGCAUGGGACAGAGGAGAGAGGAACUGUUUGGUUAUAGGUGUAAGGUUAAAGUUGGUUGCUUGGUUAUAGGUAUAGAGAGUUUUAAAUGACAGAUGCCUUGAUUUGAUUGGGUUAAAUGGUAAUGUGAGUGUAUUCGGUCCUCACAAGUAUUAUCCCACGAAAAAAAGUAGAUACCUAUGUGCGAAAAAAGUAGAUAUUUAUGUGAGCCAAAAUUUUCCACUCUUCCCCCUCUCAACCGUUGGUUGCAAAUACACUCGUACUCUCUUUUUAUUCUUUUUUUUAAUUAUUUUUCUUUACAUUAUUUUGUUUCAAGGAUCCUCUAUUUUAUUGGCAUGUUUAAUGUUUAGGACAUAAAAUGAUAUAAGAUGUUUUGCAUCUAAAAGGGCUUACUUUUAUUAAUUUCCAAAUAAAAGUGCACUACAUAUUAAAUGACAUUGGAAGUUUGGAGACCUAAACUGAAAACAUAAACAAACAACAUACCUAAAUUGGAAGGGCAUUACAAUUUAGUUAUGAGAUAAAAUCUUAUCUUGUCCGAUUUCAGAUAAACAAACCAACAAAUAAAAUUGAGAUAAGAAAACAUAAUCUAACGGUUCAUAAGUGAUGAACUCUAACUUUGUCAGAAUUUACAUUUUUUUAGGUUGAAAUGUUCAUAAAUUCUUUUUUGAGAUAGCACAUCCAAAAAUUAACUUAAGAAAAAGUUAAUACAAACAAAAUUUGUCACAUAAUCAAAUUACUACAUAAAUAAAUAUAUAUAGCCCUAUAAAGAGCCAGAAAGUAAGUAGCCCCUCAUUGAGAGAUAUUCUUUUCUAGAGCCUCAAAUAUUCCUCCGAGCUCUAAAAUGAGCUAUAUCCACUAUUUUUUCCAACCCAUAUAUAGGCCCUCACUGGGGAUGCUCUUACUACCUGCACAGUUCGACAAAUGUGAGGUUUUAUUACAAAAUGUCAAGAUAUUAGUUGGAAUCCACCUAACACGUGGCAAUACAGGCCUGCUCACUGGCUCUAAUACUAUGUCAACUUAUCAUAGAGAAGAUCCAAAGUCUCACUUUCAACAACACAGAUAUUGUUUACAACUUAAUAGUUACCACAUGUACAGUCAGACCAAUGCGAGGUUUUAUCAAAAAAAAAAAGCUUUAGAAUUAAUUGGGAUUUUUCAGGCCCGACAACUCUAGUAGUUCCAGGUACGUCGUAAUCUGAUAUGCAAAGAAACCUGAAAAAAACAGUUGUUUUGGGUGGCGCAAACAGAGACAACCCCAUCAACGACAGUUCCGGAGUUGUAGAAAUUCUGCUGCUGGGAACAUUUCGAUUUGGUCCACGAAUGUCUGUCCAUGUCCAAACCAGAAGCACUUUUGUAGCUCAGCUUUUAGAUUCUGGAAAUUUUGUAGUACGACUUUAGUGGCCGUUGACAGAGGACUAAUUUCUAAUUUAUUUGGAUUGAAUUCAGAAUUUCAACGGGAUAAAAAUGGGCAUUAUUUCACACAGCACGUUCUCGAUUUUUGGCCUGUGAAUCGCAUGAUGGUGGCCAAGAAUAGGCAGAAAUGCUUAUGUGAAUCUUCCGGAUUACUAAAUGAUGGAUUGCCGUUGUUGGAUUAUGUGGCCAAGUGGCCAUAUACUUUAGAUUAAACAAACCAAAGGUGGACAACACCUUUCCUUGUUUUGGGGAGGAAAAUAGGGAAAAGGUUUUUUGUCUUGGUCCAUGGGAAGUCACGGUUGAGGUUUUGAAUAAUAAGUUUUGGUUGUAAUGAGAAGUAAGAGUGGGAUAGAAGAGAAGAAAAUAGAGUGCAGAAAAUUGAGAGAGCCGAAGAGAAGAGAGGGAGAGAAAGAAGGUACUGCUACAGUACCAUUUUCAGAGAAGGGGUUGUUGUUCCUUUCAUUGGAUAAUUCUCACUCCAUCAAAGUGUUAUUGUUGUAAUAGCUUUGAGCUUUGUAUAGAGAAGAAAUUAAUCACUAUAUUUCUUUCUCUAUUUGUUUCUUUAGAGUGUGAGUUAUUGGGUUAUUUGGGUUGUGAGAUUGCCAACACUUUGUAAACUCCCAUUUGGUUGAUAGUGGAUUCUUGGGUGAGCUCCUACUGCUCCGAGGACGUACUCCAGUUACACUGACUGUUGAGGAACCUCGUUAAAAUCUUGGUGUCUUUAAUAUUUUGUUCUUGCAUUUUAUUUGAUAUAUUUCCUGUGGGUUAGCUUGAGUUGGUUCCACAAGGGUUUGGUGCUAUCCUAGCACAACAGCCGUCACAAAGUCACCAGCUAGUUCAUUUUUAAAAAAUAAAAAGUUACAAAAAAUGGAGAAUUUAGUAAAGGAGAAAGUGGGUUGUGUACCACAUGAUGGUAUUAUUAUGAUUAUAUAUGGUUUUGGAAUAAACUGCUACCUCCUGAACUUUCACUUAGUUUACGAUUUUCCUCUUACCAUUAGUUUUCCAUAGAUUUCAUCUAAACUAGCGUUAAUUCUUAUCAUGUGCACAUCACGUGUAUCUCCUUUGAGAGCAUAAGUGUCACUUUGUUGAUCAAGAGCAUUUAUCCAUUCACCGUUCAAUUUGCUCUUCUCAAUAUCGCUUGUAUUAAUUUCCAAACCAGAACAACGUUACAAGAAGCAAAUGUAGAGAAUGGGGAUCAAUCUAAGAAACCCCAGCAGCACAUCAUAUUUACAAUUACAAUUUUACACAUGGACAAUGAAAUCUUCUUCCUCACAUAGUUUACACCUUCCACAACUGAAAACACAGCAAUUACAAGGUGGAGCAGGAAUCUAAAGCAGUUCUACUUCCCGAUGGGGACCACAGCAAUCCUGAAUGUAGAAUGUUUUCCUUCCCGAUGGCAAAGGCAUAACAAUCCUUCUAGCGGAAGAUAUCAAAUGGAAAGUCCGACUUCCAAUCAUAGCUAUGGCCACUUUCUGGAAUGGCAAAUACCCGGCUUAUUUAACUCGUGGAUAUUCACAUGAAUCUUUACUUUUCUAUAAGCUGCAGGGGUCAGGGGAUUUGAUCGAGACAAUAGGUGGCGGUUGUAGCUCAAAGAACGAUUUUGCACCUUCUCCAAGGCUACCUAUGCAUAUCGUAUCGGACUCGGCUUUUCAGCUCUCCCAAUUCUCAUACUCUUAUCUUCUUCUAUUUAUGCGGUCAUGGUUAAAUCACGUCAACAUUUUAUAUCAUUAUUGCUUUCUUAUUAUCUCUAUAAAAAAAUCAAUAUAAUAUAUUGACGUGGCUUAAUCGUGACCGCACAAAAUAGAAGGGAAUGAGAGUGUAUGAAAACUGGGAGGGCAGAGAAGCCGGGUCCUAUCGUAUCGCCCCGACCAUGCCAGGUGCCAUGUUGGAGACUUGGACAUUGUUCAUCUCCAAUGUUCUGGAUUCCUGCUCAUAGUGUAAGAAUAGCAUCCAUAAGUUUCAAAAAAUUAGAUAAUUAAUCAGAAUUAUAAGAUCUGUCCAUAAUUUAGGCAUAGGUUCUCGAAGGAUAAUCACCUGACAUAAUGUACAGCACGGGCAGAUGAGAUGGUAGAUGCAAUCAUCCAAGGAACUAUCACUACCCUGAAAAUAACAGGCAUUGCCCGCAACAAUGUUAGGGUAGUUUGUGUAUAACCACGAAAACGAUUAGAAGGCAAGGAUUAGAAUAACCAUAGAUUCAUGAAACAAUUCAUUACAAUUGCAAUGAUCGAUCAUAUAGCAGUAACAGCACCCUCUCCACGAGGAGGGAAAAGCAAACCAUCUAACCUAGCACACCCAGUUUCCGAAUUUUUGUAUACCUAGUGUUGCUUUUCUUCCUUGAGUAACCAAUUUAAGUCAUUAGACUUGAACAUUGUUAAUUAGAAGAAUUAGUAAGGGAUAGUAACGAGGCAAAUACUAAUAUAACAAAGAGAAACACCAAUUCAGGUAACAGCAUAUAUUAACGGUUGGUUCUAUCGUUAUUUUCGAGUCUUCUUGGUGUAGGACCUACUUUCUUUGCAAUCUUGUUUAUUUUAAAAUAUUCAUUUCGUACUCUUUUUUAUUAGCUGUAUGUUCUGAAUUCAUUCCUGUAAUUGCAUAUUUCAUUAUAUUCAAAUUUACAUAUUUUAUUUACGUUCGUUCUAUCGUUAUAAUUUUUAUGCAUGUUUAAAAUGACUUCAUCAUCCUCGAAUGUGGUCAGCGUAUAUCCAUUGUAAUAUAUGGGAUAUCAGGGUUGGAUGUGUCACAUUAUCCAAGACAAUUCAACAAGACUUGAGUGGAUCCCAGAAUGCUGACUAGAAAUGUGGUUUUCGUCUUCCAAAUACCGAUUGACGAAAAGUAGCACAUGUUGGGUAAAAUUCAAAGCAGGACCGCUGUCAACACUAUCAUUAAUGUACACGGAAAAACAAGUGCGGUCAAGUCCGAUGGCUUGCGGUCAAAAUCCGAUGGUUUUGAGCUAUAUGAGGGUAGGAUUCUUUGGUAGUCCAAUGGCUUGGGCCUCUGAUCGUCUAAUUCUCUAUUGCCCACUCAGAUGCUGUAAUUGUGCCAAGGGUUUGAUACAUGCAUCUGCCAAGAAAAUGUUACUGAAAGCUUUGCUUGUUUUUUCCCUCAUCUUCCCAUUUUGCACAUCCAUUGACACCAUAGAAAUGGACCAAAAUGUAAAGGAUGGUGAUCUUCUGGUGUCCAAGGAAAACAUCUUCGCAUUAGGGUUCUUCAGCCCCAGAAACUCCAGCUCCAGGUACGUCGGAAUUUGGUAUGCUCAAAAAGAUGAAAAAGAUCAAAAGGCAGUGGUUUGGGUAGCAAACAGAAACGACCCCAUCAAUGAUACCUCCGGUGUCCUAACUAUAGACAGGUAUGGGAGACUGCUUCUUUAUUCUAACAAUAUGCAGAACGUUCCUGUGUGGUCUACAAAUGUGACGGUUCAAACUGCGAGCACUAGUUGCAGGGCUCAGCUUUUAGAUUCUGGAAAUUUAGUUCUUUUCCGGGAUAAUAAAAGCAAAAAUUUUAUGUGGCAGAGUUUUGAUUAUCCUACAGAUACUCUCCUUCCGGGUAUGAAACUAGGCGUGAAUUGGAAAUUGGGGAUAGAAUGGGUCUUAACAUCUUGGAAGUCACAAGAUGACCCUGGAACUGGGGAAUACACCUAUAGGCUCUAUUCCAAUCAGACUGCCACCCCCGAAGUUUUAACUUUUUAUAAAGGUUUGACUCCGCAUUGGCGAGCUGAUUUAGUGGACGUGGGGCGAUCUGAUCCACUGGACGUGGGGCGAUCUGAUCCACUGGACGUGGUUACUUUUGUCAGUAAUCAGGACGAAAUGUAUUACUUUCUUAAAACGAUAGCACUUCAACAAGGGUGGUGUUGAAGGAUUCUGGGUUACUGCAACACCUCAGGUGGAACAAUGCGGAUAGAGAAUGGAAGGAACUAUGGUCUACGCCAAAAUAUCGGUGUGACCAGUAUGGAGAGUGCGGUGCCAACAGCAAAUGUAGCCCUGACAAUAUCAAUUCGUUUGAGUGUGAGUGUCUGCCAGGGUAUGAACCGAAGUCUGUCAAUGAUUGGAAGAUGAGAGAUGGUUCGGACGGGUGUGUGAGUAAACGACUUGCGGUAUCAAAGUGUAGGAACGGAGAAGGGUUCAUGAAAGUGGCACGAGUUAAAGAUCCAGACACAACCAAAGCAGCACGGCUGAAAAAAGGUAUUAGUAUCAAAGAGUGUGAGCAGAUGUGCUUAAGCAAUUGUUCUUGCACUGCAUAUACGGUCAUAGAAUCUGAAGGGCGCAGUGAUUGCUUGACAUGGUAUGGUGAGUUGCUGGACAUUUUAGUGUACACACAGCUAGGGCGAGAUCUACAUGUACGUGUGGACAAAAUCGAAUUAGGUACCACUUCUUGCCAUGGAAAAGUUGCAUUAUAAAUUUUUGGAAUUUGUGGAACUUACUGUACUACUGGUUUUGUUAUUUUUUAAUCCUUUAUCCCACUCUUAUGUGUAGCAGAAAAUUCAAGAAAUUCGAAAGGUUUUCUUAGAAGCAGGGGUAUGCUGGCUAUUCUGAUGUUGUCUGUUGUUCUAGCAUUGGUACUGAUGGUUGCGUUGACCUGUUGGAGGAUUAGGAAACAGAGGAAGACAAAAGGUAAGAAGUAGUCAGCGAUUUUGAAUUCUCGAACGGUUUCAUCAAAUAAAAGCACUCCACUUGUAAUGCUUGUGCAGUUUGUAAAUCAUAUCAAAGCACUGCCAUUAGAUAGAAUCCAUACGCACAAGCUCGAUGUAAAACUUAUAUUUCUAUAUCGUUUGUCAAUGAAAAUAGAACAGUGAGAAGAAAAUGCAGACAAUGAUUUCUUUUAUUGUUAGCAGUUGAGAUCGAAGAAACUAGGAGACAUCCCGAAUUGCAAUUUUUCCAUCUGAGAACGAUAAUUGCAGCUACGAACAACUUCUCUCCCGUCCAAAAACUUGGCCAAGGUGGUUUUGGCACUGUUUAUAAGGUUAGUCCCACUUUCGAAGAGUUACAAAUUUCAUUAUUAAGGAAUAAUCACAACAUAAUAGCUUCACAAAAUAAGUGAUGAUUAUGUGGAAGCUUAAUGAUAAAACUGAAUGAAAACUUCAGGGUGUGUUACGAAAUAAUCAGAAUAUUGCUGUAAAAAGAUUAUCCAGAGCUACAGGACAAGGAGUUGAAGAAUUCAAAAAUGAAGUUGCAUUGAUAGCGAGACUUCAACACAGGAAUCUUGUGAAACUUUUAGGCUGUUGCAUAAAGGGAGAAGAAAGGAUGUUAGUCCUGGAAUACUUGCCGAACAAAAGCUUGGACUACUUUCUUUUCGGUAUGUCUAUAGAGGAAAGAUUCAUUUGUUCACGCCAUUUCUCAAACUAUGAAGCAUAUCUUAGUCGAAUAUGUUACAUUUAUCUGCACAAUUAAAGCCAAAUAUCUUGAUGCAGACAAAAAAGUCCUUGCUGGAUUGGCAAAAGCGAUUCGAAAUCAUCAACGGGGUUGCUCGUGGGGUUUUGUAUCUUCACCAGGAUUCAAGACUUAGGAUUAUUCAUAGGGAUCUAAAAACCAGCAAUGUCCUUCUAGACGCUGAGAUGAACCCAAAAAUCUCAGAUUUCGGCAUGGCAAGAAUCUUCCAUGGGGACCAACUCCAGGAUACGACCAACAGAGUUGUCGGAACAUAGUAAGAAUCGUUAUAAACUCACCCUCCAUUAGCUCUUUCAUCUCUUACUAUUCUUUGGCUGUAACGUUUUAUUUUCUUUAUAUGCUUAAUACAGUGGCUAUAUGUCACCGGAGUAUGUAGUGUUUGGGAGAUAUUCAACCAAAUCAGAUGUUUUUAGUUUUGGGGUCAUAUUAUUGGAGAUUGCAAGCGGCAAGAAAAACAGCAGUUGUUAUCAAGAGGAUCAUUUCGUAAACUUAAUAGGACAUGUGAGUAACACAAAUUGUGCAAACAACCAACCCUUUUUAUUUACUCAUCCCAUACAUGUUUAAAUGAACUGUCAACUACAGGUUUGGCAGUUGUGGAGUGAAGACAGAGCCUUAGAAAUUGUGGAUUCGUCAUUGGAGUCAUACGCGCUCGACGAAGCCAUGAGAUGCAUUCAGGUCGGGCUCUUGUGUGUCGAAGAAGAGUCGAAGAAUAGACCAUCCAUGUCAGCUGUUGUUUUUAUGUUGAGCGGCGAAGCAUCUGCUCCAUCUCCUCAGCAGCCUGCAUUUGCCUUGAGAAAAAAUUCAUGCGGCGAUGCUGUUGUUCCUUCAGUUUCUGAAGGAUCGUGUUCUAUCAACGACGUGACAAUAACUAAAUUCGAAGGUCGAUAACUAAAUUCUGAUGUCAUCUGUGAUGAAACAUGGUCUUUCGGGAACUGAAUCAUAUACAUUGAAAUGAGACUUUAGUUAUAUAGGCUAUUUCAUACACUUUCAAAUACCUCUUGGAUGUAUCUAAUAAUACAGAACUCUUUCCAACAGUUAUGUCGCCUAAUCAAAACGUAAUAUUAAUUAAAAACUUAGGGGGGUGUAUUCAAUUAGGAUUUUGAGGGAUUUUAAUUCUUUUAAUGAAUCUAAGGGUUCAAUCAUGAAUUUAAGUGAUUCUCUGAAAUUCAAUGUGUAUUCAAUCAAGAUUUUAAGAUAGUUUAUGAAAAUCCUUAGAAAUCCGGGUGUAUUCAAUUAGAAUUUUAAAGAAGUUUAUAACAUUCCAGGUGUAUUCAAUUAGAAUUUGAUUUUAAAGAAUUUGAGAAAGUUGAGGAAUUAGAGGGAAUUGGAGAGAUUUCGUAGUGUAUUUUGAGCAUCCACAAAUCUCACAUCCCCCAAGAGAUUUCGAGGGAAUUGAAUCAAAAUUUUACAUGGAAUCUCUACAAAUCAAUUAAACUCCAUAAAAAUCCAUUAAAAUCUCUCAAAUUCUCAAUUGAAUACACCUUCCUUAAUCCAAAACCUAAAAUCAGUUAAUAUACUAAUUAAAAUUACACCUAUUGGAGACCUUGUGUUCCCCGAUGUGGGAUAAUUGAGGCAUAAAAUUCGAACAGAUUCCAACAGGAUCCUCUUCAGAUUCUUUUAGUGAGGAUUCUGAUGAUUCGUGAAUCGUGUCCAUUUAUCGUACAUCGUACGGUCAAUUUUUGUCAAAUACUGUUUGUGUUUAAUUUUAAAUAAAAAUAUUUAAAAUAAUUUAUAAUUGUACGAUGUACGAUGAACGGAUAAAAUUGACAAUCCUUGGGAUCCUCACAAAAAGUAUCCGGCUAGGAUCCGGAUUCCAACAGAUUAUUCUUUGACGAAACUGAUUUGACUGUCAACAUCCAAAGUCUACUUGGUUUGAGUCGUGCUUGCUAGGUGCCGGGUAAACUCUUCAAACAAGCAGCAAUAAUUCCAACAGAAAAACAUAAACAUCAGCGGUAAUAGUCUCUAGUGUAUACCUUUUAUUCUGCAGGUAUGUUGUUGCACAUGUACAUCGGUCAGGACAACAAAUUUUGCUCACUAUUUUCACUUCGAGAAGUUUAGUGUGUGGGGUGAAAUGAUCGAAUCAUGAGUUGGGGAUAGAACAUGUAAAAUUCUAGUUGUUUUUAUAUACAAUGGUUGUGAAUAUCUUUGUAAAUUGUAAUGUUAUAGAUGCUUGUGGUUGUGGGCUGUUUUAAUUUUAUGAAAAAAUAAUUUUUUGUUUAGCCUCAAUCUUAAUUUGUAGGUGACAACUUUGUCAGAACUGGGCACUAAAGGACAUUUACUUGUGCUUACACUUUUUGGCACAACAUACCUUAUUGUGCUCUUUGAUCAAAGGCUACGCCUAUAGAGGGCACAAAUAGAAAUAUAGUUGAUGCACUGUUGCUAUUGGUCUAUGGACACAAUUGUUGGUGCUCUUUGGCCUCAAAGGACACAUAUAAUUUAUUGUGUGCAGUGCCCAUAUUUUUUGUAGUGUGCAGGUUUGGUAGCUCUGGAGAGAAGACAGAGCAUUAAAAGUUGUGGAUUCAUCGGUAGAGAGUAGAGACCUUUCAGUCGAAUGAGUAAUGCAACGCAUUCAAGUUGGCUUCUUAUGCGUGGAAGAAGAUUUGAAGGACCGACCAACCAUGUCAGCCUUUUUUGUUGAGUGUUGUGAAACAUCUCCUCCAUCUCCUAAACAGCCUGCAUUUGUCUUCAGAAAAAGUUCAUGCGAUGAUGAUGCGGAUCCAUUAAUUCCGAAAGGGUCAGGUUCUAUUAACGACUUAACAAUAAUUGCAUUUGAAGCUCGUUAGUUGUUAAUGAUGCAGGCUAUUUGAAGCUUGUUCCGAAAGGGUCAGAUAAUGCACGUGUUGUUACACCCACCCCAAGUUAUAAAAAUAUAAUUAUGUAAUUAUCCCCUAAAUCUUAUGAAUCUAUCAAUUUAGUCCUAUUUUGACUACCCAAUCAGGAUUAUUCCCAAGCUGCCACGUGGCAGAAACCCAAGACUUCUCUCUUUUCUCUCUCUGUCCCCUGCCACUCCCGUGAACCCCCAUUUUCUUCCUCUUUCUGUCUCUCCCUUCUCUCCCUUUCGGAUCCCUCAUUUCUCUCUCUCUCUUUUCCGAGACACACAUACACACACACACACACACACCCAGUUACCUCAUCUACGAGGAAGACGCCGCCAUCAUCAAUCCCUCGUCCUUCUUUCUCUCUCUUUCCCGUGCUACGAGGAAGAACCCAGAAACGAACUCUGGCGAGAUUUCUAUUCCUCCGGUUAGGUAAGCCUCGAUUUCCCUCUAUUUCGUCCUAAAUUCAUGCGAGAAUGUGUUUUAAUGGGUUGUACCUUGUUAAUUUCGAAGUUUUAGAACAAAACCAGGUCGGGUGAAGGCACACCUAGCUCCGGCGAGGCCGUGGGUGUCGAGGGAAUCUCCGGUCAUCUCCGGCCGUUCUACGGCAAAAGGAAGGUAUAAAGUUGUUCCUCUAGUCUUGUACUUCGAUUUGAUACCUAGAUCGGACCCUAAAAGCUAGGUUUGAGGCCGGCCGGAGCUGUAGAAGCUCUAGCGUUCUUCUCCGUCGACGCCAGCCUUUCAGGCCGUUUCUUAGUCACUCGGGCCUUAGGCCCGUGGUGAGUCUAGCCCAAACCCAUAACUCAGUUUCUUUUUAUUUUAUUUAAUUGUUUUAAUAACCCAAGAGGCCUUCGGGCCGUUAUGUUUAGGGCCUGUAGCCCAUUAGACCAACCCAAAACCUUUUUAGGUUUUUUUUAUUUUUGUUUUACAAAUUAAGGCCCUUGGGCCAUUUUUAUUCAGGGCCUUAGGCCCGAGUGUUUAGAAACCUUUAUAGUUAAGGCCCUUGGGCCAUUUAGAGCUUGGGCUUUCAGCCCUUUCCCAAACCCAUUAACCUCAAUCUAAACCCAAAAUCCUUAGGGCCCAAUCGGCCCAACCCAAUCCAAGCCCAGUCUGACCUUUGACCCAGUUGACCGUUGACUAGGUCAACGGUCAGCAAUGUCCUUCUAGACGCUGAGAUGAACCCGAAAAUCUCAGAUUUCGGCAUGGCAAGAAUCUUCCAUGGGGACCAACUCCAGGAUAUGACCAACAGAGUUGUCGGAACAUAGUAAGAAUCGUUAUAAACUCACCUUCCAUUAGCUCUUUCAUCUCUUACUAUUCUUUGGCUGUAACGUUUUAUUUUCUUUAUAUGCAUAAUACAGUGGCUAUAUGUCACCGGAGUAUGCAGUGUUUGGGAGAUUUUCGACCAAAUCGGAUGUUUUUAGUUUUAGGGUCAUAUUAUUGGAGAUUGUAAGCGGCAAGAAAAACAACAGUUUCUAUCAAGCGGAUCAUUUCCUAAACUUAAUAGGACAUGUGAGCAACACAAAUUGUGCAAACAACCAACCCUUUUUAUUUACUCAUCCCAUACAUGUUUAAAAUGAACUGUCAACUACAGGUUUGGCAGUUGUGGAGUGAAGACAGAGCCUUAGAAAUUGUGGAUUUGUCAUUGGAGUCAUACGCGCCCGACGAAGCCAUGAGAUGCAUCCAGGUUGGGCUCUUGUGUGUUGAAGAAGAGUCGAAGAACAGACAAUCCAUGUCAGCUGUUGUUUUUAUGUUGAGCGGCGAAGAUCUGCUCCAUCUCCUCAGCAACCCGCAUUUGCCUUGAGAAGAAAUUCAUGCGGGAUGCUACAGUUCCAUUACUUUCCAAUGGAUGGUGUUCUAUCAACGACGUGACAAUAACUAAAUUCGAAGGUCGAUAACUAAAUUCCGAUGUCUGUGAUAAAACAUGGUCCUUCGGGAACUGAAUCAUAUACGUUGAAAUGAGACUUCAGUUAUAUAGGCUAUUUCAUACAUUUUCAAAUACCUCUUGGAUGUAUCUAAUAAUACAACUCUGUCCAGCAGUUUGUUUCCUAAUCAAAACAUUUUUGAUAUUAAUUAAAAAUUUAAUCCGAAACUAAAAUUAGUUAAUAUACGAGUUAAAAUCACACCUAUUGGAGAACUUGUGUUCCUGAUGUGGGACAAUUGAGGCAUAAAACUCCAACAGAUUAUUCUUUGACGAUACUGAUUUGACUGUCAACAUCCAAAGUCUCCUUGGUUUGAGUCGUGCUUGCCAGGUGCCGGGUAAACUCUUCAGACAAGCAGCAGAAAUUCCAACAAAAACAUAAACAUCAACGACAAUUCUUCUGUCAAAUUAUAAAAGAGACGGCUAAAGUCUCACUUCUAACAACAUCGAUAUUGUUUUCAAUUUUGUUACCACCUUCACAAUCCGACAUGUGUGAAGUUUAUUACAAAAUGUCACGGUAUUAGUUGGAAUCAAACCAACACGUGACUGUACGGGCCUGCUCGUUGGCUCUGAUACAAUGUCAAAUUAUCAUAGAGAUGAGCCAAAGUCUCACUUCCAACAAUACCAAUAUUGUCCCUAACUUGUUAAUUACCACCAGCAUAGUCAGACUAGUGUGAGAUUUUAUCACAAAAAAACUUCGGUAUUAAUUGGGAUUCUUCAGGCCCGACAACUCCAGUAGUUCCAAGUACGUCUGAAUUUGGUACGCAGACAAACUUGAAAAAAAUAGUUGUUUGGGUGGAGUGGCAAACAGAGACAAUCCCAUCAAUGAGAGAUUUUUCAGUGUAGAGAAAUUUUUAAUUGUGACGAUGGUAUACCUAGGGGUGGGCAAACAGGUCCUGGACCCGUGGGUCGGGACGGGUCCAAAAAUUCGAAACACCAAACGGGGUGGGUCUAUGAAAUUAGAGGGGAGGGGCGGGUCCAAAAAUAAGAAGGAACGAGCCCUCGACGAGGGCCGUUUGUAGCAUAUGAGAUAAUGGAUUUGAUUAGUGUGACACCGUGGGCCUCGACUUACAAGGUUGCCCACCAAAUUGGACCAGAUUUAGGAGGCCCUUAAGGUCUCUGGAACCAUCCUCUCAGAUACGUUGAAAUGAGAUUUCAUCGAGAACUGAAUCAUAUACGUUGAAAUGAUCCAUCGGGAACUGAAUCAUAUACGUUGAAAUGAGAUUUCAGUUAUAUAGGCUAUUUCAUACACUUUCAAAUACCUCUUGGAUGUAUCUAAUAAUACAGAACUCUUUCCAACAGUUAUGUAUCCUAAUCAAAACGUUUUUAAUAUUAAUUAAAAACUUAAUCCGAAAUUAAAAUCAGUUAAUAUACUAAUUAAAAUUACACCUAUCAACAUAUUAUUCUUUGACUAGGUAAGAGAUCCCCUUUGGAUUUAAUCCACUAAAACCAUCGGAUCAAGUGAUCCGAGCCUUCCAAAUUUCAUCUAAUGAUAAAAAGUUAUCAUAGUUUUUAAAGAAUCAAAAUAGGUGAGCCUUUGGAUAAAAUUUAAAAGAACCGAUCACUUGAUCUGGUGGCCUUGGUGGAAAGAGAUCCUCCCUUUGACAAAACUGAUUUGAUUGUCAAGAUCCAAAGUCUCCUUGGUUUGAGUCAUGCUUGCCAGGUGCUGGGUAAACUCUUCAGACAAGCAGCAGAAAUUCCAACAAAAACAUAAACAUCAGCGACAAUUCUUCUGUCAAAUUAUAAAAGAGACGGCUAAAGUCUCACUUCUAACAACACCGGUAUUGUUUUCAAUUUAGUUACCACCUACACAGUCCGACAUGUGUGAAGUUUUAUUACAAAAUGUCACGGUAUUAGUUGGAAUCAAACCAACACGUGACUGUACGGGCUUGCUCGUUGGCUCUGAUACCAUAUCAAAUUAUCAUAGAGAUGAGCCAAAGUCUCACUUCCAACAAUAUCGAUAUUGUCCUCAACUUGUUAAUUACCACCGGCACAGUCAGACCAGUGUGAGAUUUUAUCACAAAAAAACUUCGGUAUUAAUUGGGAUUCUUCAGGCCUGACAACUCCAGUAGAUCCAGGUACGUCGGAAUUUGGUAUGCAAACAAACCUGAAAAAAACAAUUGUUUUGGUGGCGUGGCAAACAGAGACAAUCCCAUCAACAAGAGAUUUUUUAGUGUGGAGAAAUUUUUAAUUGUGACGGGAACACAGGUGAUAUACCUAGGGUGGGCAAACGGGUCCUGGACCCGUGGGUCGGGGCGGGUCCAAAAAUUCGAAACACAAAACGGGGUGGGUUUAUGAAAUUAACGGGGCUGGGUGGGUCCAAAAAUAAGAAGGAACGAGCCCCCGGCCAGGCCCGUAUGUAGCAUAUGGGAUAAUGGAUUUGAUUAGUGUGACGCCGUGUCCCUCGACUUACAAGGUUGCCCACCAAAUAGGACCAAAUUUAGAAGGCCCUUAAGGUCUCUGGAACCAUCCUCUCAGAGCAUUUUUAUUUUUAUAUGAUUUAAUUAAAGGGAAUUUUAAUGAAAAGCCCACGGUACUAUUCACUUUAUUGAAAAAUCACAUUUUUACACUAAAAAGUCAAACAUGCUACUAUUCACUUUACCUUUUAUUUUGUCCUUAUCGUUAAAACUCAAAGUUUUCAAACCCUUUUCAUUAGUUUUCCUUUAAUUAAAUCCCCUCAUCUCAGACUCCUAGACUCCCCCACUUUCUUUCUCCAUUUCUCAACUUUCUUGUUCUUUUCUCCCCCCAACCCUUUAAUCGACCGUCACGACAUCACAUCAGCCACCACACGAGUCACGGUAUCACCUCACCAUCGUUCUUAAACCUAGAAACCUUUCUGAGAGUGACUUAGUUGAUUCGAAUUCGACUACGUCGACAUCUCACAACAACUAGCCACCACGAGAUUACGUGACACGCCCCGAUCCCGAUGUCCUAGGGACAAAGGGAUGGUCACGUGCUGGUCGACACCCGAAGGGUGACGAAAGCCAUUUAUUGAGUACAAAUGCUGACAACAAGGGAUAGAUCAGACUUAUAAAUAUAAGAGAAUAAAGAAUAUGUAUUUAAGGAACGUGUUCAGAGCACACAUCUAAUCUAGAACAUUAAAAGAAUUAAUAUAAAAAUUGAAUGAACACAGAAGUGGGUCCUACACCGAGAGGACUCGAAGAUACCGAUGCGGAAGUGCCUGGAUGCCGGGAUUGUAUGCCUCGAUUCUAAAUCCUGAAGGGGGCGCAAAACAAACAUGAGUGGACCAAGUUGAUAUAUAUAUAAUAAAACAGUUAUCAACGUACUAACCCCCAGGUUUUAUGAAAACACAUAUAUAAUGAUAAACAUAGGUUUUCUGAAACCUAGCAUGAUGUGCAGUAUCUCAAAUCAUAACUCAUAUAUAAUAAUCACUAGUGAAUUGUCCGAUAACCCCCAGGCCCCAUGCCGGCUCCCCGUCUCUGAGCAGACAGUCAGAGGAAAAUACACUUCAGGCCCCAUGCCGGCUCCCCGUCUCUGUGCUAAAUAGCCAGAGGAAACACACUUCAGGCCCUAUGCCAACACCAAACCGUCGCCCGGGACGGACCGGAAUCUAUCCCUACGUCCCGUAGCGGAAAGGACCACUAGGUAAGUACAAACCAUUGAACAUAUAUAUAUUGAAAAACAACUUCAUAGUAUAAAGUCAUCCAUCAUCUAUACUAUAAAGAGGUGAUCGAAACAUGUUCUAAAUAUCAUAUCGUCAUCCAUCGGAUAUUCUAUAAGAACAUGGGUUAUAGGAAAAAUAGUAAUAAUUCAAACUAGCCUUAGUAAGCAUGUUAUCUCACAAAACGUUUCAUAAAACGUAAUCAUCAAAUCAUGCUUUUUAUGUAUGCAUUUCUACUAUAAAACAUGCAUUUUAGAAGGGGUCCACUCACAGUACUUAGCCGUCGAAGAGCCACGCAAACUAGCAACCACGAAAACGUCACCAAUAUUGCCCCUAAGCACAUAAAGGGUCCAAUUAAUAAAACUCUAUUAUAACAAUUGAAUUUGGGAAAACGAACAUUGGAAACGGAUUCAGAACGUCGAGUUACCCUAAGAAGGGUCCCGGACGAAAACCCGAAAAGUCCACCCUAAAGUCAACGUUGACCGGAGGUCAACAGUCAAAUUAGGUCAAACGGGUUUUAGGCUUGACAUCUGGAUUAGGGUUUAGGUUUAGGUUAACUAGGAUUAGGAUUUAUUGGGUUUUGGGUUUAGGGUCCUAAGGUUUUUGGAUUAAAAGAGUUUAGGGUGAAGAAAUGGGGUUUGGGCCUAAGCCCAAACACAUACACACCACAAACACACAUACACAUACACAUACACAUACACACCACACACACAGACAUACACAUACACAUACACACACAUACACAUACACAUACGCACACGCACACACACUUAAACACACACACACAAACUCACACACUCACACAACACACACACACUAAAUAUACAUACACACACACACGGGUACACACCCACACACCCACACAAUCUAAAACACACACACACAUGGCCCAAAGGCCUCACAACCAAAAGGGUUGGGCUCAGCAGGGAAGGCCCAAAGGGCUUCGUUUUUGGUGGGUCGCCGGAUCCAAUGGGAGAGAAGGCCGGAAAUUCGGCCGGAAAACCAUCCCACUUUAAACGGCCAUAACUUUAACAAUACUCAACGAAAUCAAGCGAGACAAAAACGAAAGUUAUAGCCCUUGAAGAGACGAAGAGAAUGGUACCUCACACGACGUCUAACUCGCCGUGUUUUGGCCGGAAAACGCCUCGAAAGCCGUCGGACUCGCCGGAAACUGGGUAAGAUUCAAAUGAGUAUAACUUUUCCAAUACUCAACGAAAUUGAGUGAAACAAAAAGGAAAGUUGUACUACUCGACGAGACGAAGAGAUUGAUACCUUGCACGCUGGGCAACUCGUCGUGGUUUGGCCAGAAAUGGCCUCGAAAGGGGCGGUGCUCGCCGGAGCUUACUCCGUGUCGUCGAACUCGCAGGGCAGGGUCCGGGGUUCGUUGCGAGCCUCUCUUCGAUGGUGACUCGGUCCUAGUGAGUCCAGGGGAAGAGAGAGAGCCGAGAGACAGACAGAAGAAGGAAGAAAAGAAAACAGAAAAGAAGAAGAAGAAAGAAGGGAGUUCACGGGGGAGGGACAGAGAGAGAAGGAAGAGUGACGGGAAUGGGGGACACAAAAACAGAAGGUGGGCCCCUUGGGCACAUCAAUUAAGAAUAAAAAACUAUUUUUAAAUAAAAUGGGGGUGAGGUGUUACAUUAGGCCUCACCAUCGUCUCCUAAAUCUCAGGUGAAGAUGGCCUGUUGCAGAUUGGUGAAGACGAAAAUGGCUUGUUGCAGAUUGGAGACGAAGAUGGCUUGUUGCAGAUCGGAGAAGACGGUGGGCGCGAGGCUCAAGAUCGGAGAAGACGAUGGGUUCAAAUGAUUUAUAUGAUUGUUUUGCUUUGAAAAAGGUUUUCGGAUUUAGUAGGAGAUACUGGAGGUUUUGGGAUUUGAAUUCAUAUGAUUCAUUUGGUUAAUUUGUAUGCAUGUAAACCUUUUUUAGGCAAGUGGGUGUAGUAGGAGAUACUGGAAAUCCCAAAACAAUCAAAAUACUACUGCUUUGAGAACCAUGAGUCGUUCAAAUUCUUGUUGCAGAUUAUCCUAAUGUUACUGCUUCUGAUUUGAUCAUCUAGGUUAUCGACAAAGGAAGAUGAACGACGAGUUAAAAAAAUUGUAAUCGACCCGUGGACCUGGCCCGAAUCAGCCCGUUUAGGUUCAGUUCCAAAUUCAGAAAUGGCAUUACUCGGCCCGGCCCACCCCGUUGCAUAUAUGAUUAUCAAUCACAGUUCGAAUUCUCCUUGUAAGGUUCACUGCAAAACAAAUACUGAAGAAGCCAACAUACACACACACACACACACACACAUACACAGUGCAAUCAUAUCAUAUUAAAAGAAAAACUAAAACCAACUAGGUUGGCUCUGAUGCCAAAUGUAAACUUUAAUAAAACCUAGGGUUAAUACUUCAAGGUUUUGGCGACAUGCACACGUGGUAUUUUUGACGAACUGGUAUUAGCAAUGGUUCAGGAUUUUGCCUGAAGAAGCCAUUACACAAAUUGAAGCCUCUUACUUUGAUCUUCUACUCAAUGGAAACCUUAUGUUCUUUUCUAGUAAUGGAUCUAGAUUUUAUCUCAGAAAAUGGAACCAACUUUCCUUGAGCAGGGACCAAGUAUAUAUAGACAUCUACACAUCUCAUCAUAACCACCUCCUCCCAUUAAGGAUAGCAGUUUGAUAACUGCAAGCAUUACGCUUGUCUUCCGAUCAUGGGGUGUUUCUCUCCUUCAUCACGUAACCCUUAUGGUCCUACAUUAUAGGAGAUUCAAUUAACCAAGUCAUUAACUCCUAACUGAACUCUAGUGUCUGAUAUGGAUAAUUAACCUUAAUUAUAAUUAGUAAAAUCCAAAUAAGUUCCAACACAAAAACGAUUAGAAGGCAUGGAUUAGAAUAACCAUAGAUUCAUGAAACAAUUCAUUACAAUUGCAAUGAUCGAUCAUAUAGCAGUAACAGCACCCUCUCCACGAGGAGGGAAAAGCAAACCAUCUAACCUAGCACACCCAGUUUCUGAAUUUUUCUAUACCUAGUGUUGCUUUUCUUCCUUGCGUAACCAAUUUAAGUUAUUAGACUUGAACAUUGUUAAUUGGAAUUAGUAAGGGAUAGUAACGAGGCAAAUACUAAUAUAACAAAGAGAAAUACCAAUUCAGGUAACAUCAUAUAUUAACGGUUGGUUCUAUCAUUAUCUUCGAGUCUUCUUGAUGUAUGACCUACUUUCUUUGCAAUGUCCUGAACUCGUUCCUGCAAUUGCAUACUUCAUUAUAUUCAAAUUUACAUAUUUUAUUUACGUUCGUUCUAUCGUUAUAAUUUGUAUGCCUGUUUAAAAUUGCUUCAUCACCCUCAGAUGUUGGUCAGGACAUAUCCAACGUAAUAUAUGGGGAUAUCGGGGUUGGAUGUGUCACAUUAUCCAAGACAAUUCAACAAGACUUGAGUGGAUCCCAGAAUGCUGACUAGAAAUGUCGUUUUCGUCUUCCAAAUACCGAUCGACGAAAAGUAGCACAUGUUGGGUAAAAUUCAAAGAAGCAGGGCAGCUGUCAACACUAUCAUUAAUGUACACGGAAAAACAAGUGCGGUCAAGUCCGAUGGCUUGGGCCUCUUUGGUAGUCCGAUGGCUUGCGGCCAAAAUCCGAUGGUUUUCAGCUAAGGGAGGGUAGGAUUCUUUGGUAGUCCGAUGGCUUGGGCCUCUGAUCGUCUAAUUCUCUAUUGCCCUCGCAGUUGCUGUGAUUGUGCCAAGGGUUUGAUACAUGCAUCUGCCAAGAAAAUGUUACUGAAAGCUUUGCUUGUUGUGUCCCUCCUCUUCCCAUUUUGCACUUCCAUUGACACCAUAGAAAUGGACCAACAUGUAAAGGAUGGUGAUCUUCUGGUGUCCAAAGAAAACAUCUUCGCAUUAGGGUUCUUCGGCCCCAGAAACUCCAGCUCCAGGUACGUCGGAAUUUGGUAUGCAGAAAAAGAUGAAAAAGAUCAAAAGGCAGUGGUUUGGGUAGCAAACAGAAACGACCCCAUCAAUGAUACCUCUGGUGUCCUAACUAUAGACAGGUAUGGGAGACUGCUUCUUUAUUCUAACAAUAUGCAGAACAUUCCUGUGUGGUCUACAAAUGUGACGGUUCAAACUGCGAGCACUAGUUGCAGGGCUCAGCUUUUAGAUUCUGGAAAUUUAGUUAUUUUCCGGGAUAAUAAAAGCAAAAACUUUAUGUGGCAGAGUUUUGAUUAUCCUACAGAUACUCAACUUCCGGGUAUGAAACUAGGCGUGAAUUGGAAUUUGGGGAUAGAAUGGGUCUUAACAUCUUGGAAGUCACAGGAUGACCCUGGAACUGGGGAAUACACCGAAAGGCUCUAUUCCAAUCAGACCGCCACCCCCCCAGUUUUUUACUUUUUAUAAAGGUUUGACUCCGUAUUGGCGAGCUGGUACAGUGGACCCGCGUAAUUUUGUCAGUAAUCAGGACGAAAUGUAUUUCUUUUUUAAAAACGAUAGCACUUCAAUAAGGUCGGUGUUGAAGGAUUCUGGGUCACUGCAAAUCCUCGAGUGGAGCAAUGCGAAUAGAGAAUGGAAGGAACUAUGGUCUGCGCCAAAAUAUCGGUGUGACCUGUAUGGAGAGUGCGGUGCCAACAGCAAAUGUAGCCCUGACAAUUUCAAUUUUUUUGGGUGUGAGUGUCUGCCAGGGUAUGAACCGAAGUCUGUCAAUGAUUGGAAGAUGAGAAAUGGUUCGGACGGGUGUGUGAGUAAACGAGUUGCGGUAUCAAAGUGUAGGAACGGAGAAGGGUUCAUGAAAGUGGCACAAGUUAAAGAUCCAGACACAACGAAAGCAGCACGG
RNAcentral lists this long non-coding RNA (29784 nucleotides) under Malus domestica (apple). Its description in RNAcentral is "long non-coding RNA (MDOM_LNC005376)". Lineage: Eukaryota; Viridiplantae; Streptophyta; Magnoliopsida; Rosales; Rosaceae. The record is from RNAcentral.